RNAcentral lists this ribosomal RNA (828 nucleotides) under Pyricularia grisea. RNAcentral's name for it is "partial large subunit ribosomal RNA". It matches the Rfam family "Eukaryotic large subunit ribosomal RNA", at positions 73 to 929 of the family's 3401-position model. Lineage: Eukaryota; Fungi; Ascomycota; Sordariomycetes; Magnaporthales; Pyriculariaceae. The record is from RNAcentral.
GAUUGCCCCAGUAACGGCGAGUGAAGCGGCAACAGCUCAAAUUUGAAAUCUGGCCCCCAGGGCCCGAGUUGUAAUUUGCAGAGGAUGCUUUUGGUGAGGCACCUACCGAGUCCCCUGGAAUGGGGCGCCACAGAGGGUGAGAGCCCCGUAUGGUAGGACGCCGAACCUCUGUAAAGCUCCUUCGACGAGUCGAGUAGUUUGGGAAUGCUGCUCUAAAUGGGAGGUAAAUUUCUUCUAAAGCUAAAUACCGGCCAGAGACCGAUAGCGCACAAGUAGAGUGAUCGAAAGAUGAAAAGCACUUUGAAAAGAGGGUUAAAAAGUACGUGAAAUUGUUGAAAGGGAAGCGCUUGUGACCAGACUUGCGCCUGGCGGAUCAUCCAGCGUUCUCGCUGGUGCACUCCGCCAGGCUCAGGCCAGCAUCGGUUCUCGCCGGGGGACAAAGGCUUCGGGAACGUGGCUCCUUUCGGGGAGUGUUAUAGCCCGUCGCGUAAUACCCCGGCGGGGACCGACGACCGCGCUUCGGCAAGGAUGCUGGCGUAAUGGUCAUCAGCGACCCGUCUUGAAACACGGACCGAGGAGUCAAGCAUUAGUGCGAGUGUUUGGGUGUAAAACCCGCACGCGUAAUGAAAGUGAACGUAGGUGAGAGCUUCGGCGCAUCAUCGACCGAUCCUGAUGUUUUCGGAAGGAUUUGAGUAGGAGCAUUAACGCUUGGACCCGAAAGAUGGUGAACUAUACUUGAAUAGGGUGAAGCCAGAGGAAACUCUGGUGGAGGCUCGCAGCGGUUCUGACGUGCAAAUCGAUCGUCAAAUUUGAGUAUAGGGGCGAAAG